Molecule: ribosomal RNA, 106 nt
Filed under: Lactarius indigo var. indigo
Lineage: Eukaryota; Fungi; Basidiomycota; Agaricomycetes; Russulales; Russulaceae
Description: partial 28S ribosomal RNA
Source: RNAcentral
UUUGGGCGUGUCUCCCUUCUCGGGAAGCACUCUCAACCCCACGAACCCUUGACCUCAAAUCGGGUGAGACUAACCGCUGAACUUAAGCAUAUCAAUAAGCGGAGGA